GUAGGGAAUAUUGGACAAUGGGGGGAACCCUGAUCCAGCCAUGCCGCGUGGAGUAAGACUGCCCUCUGGGUUGUAAACUCCUUUUAUAUGGGAAGAACCGUCCUCAUUAAUGAGUGACCUGACGGUACCAUAGGAAUAAGCACCGGCUAACUCCGUGCCAGCAGCCGCGGUAAUACGGAGGGUGCAAGCGUUAUCCGGAUUCACUGGGUUUAAAGGGUGCGUAGGCGGAUAAAUAAGUCAGUGGUGAAAUCAACGGGCUCAACCUGUUAACUGCCAUUGAUACUGUGUAUCUUGAAUAUGAGAGAGGUAGGCGGAAUGUUGCAUGUAGCGGUGAAAUGCUUAGAUAUGCUACGGAACACCGAUUGCGAAGGCAGCUUACUAUUUCGUAAUUGACGCUGAGGCACGAAAGCGUGGGUAGCGAACAGGAUUAGAUACCCGGGUAGUCC
Molecule: ribosomal RNA, 446 nt
Filed under: uncultured bacterium
Lineage: Bacteria
Description: partial 16S ribosomal RNA
Rfam family: Bacterial small subunit ribosomal RNA
Source: RNAcentral